AUUGAACGCUGGCGGCAUGCUUUACACAUGCAAGUCGAACGGCAGCGGACCUUCGGGUGCCGGCGAGUGGCGAACGGGUGAGUAAUAUAUCGGAACGUACCUUUCAGUGGGGGAUAACGUAGCGAAAGUUACGCUAAUACCGCAUAUUCUGUGAGCAGGAAAGCAGGGGAUCGCAAGACCUUGCGCUGAUUGAGCGGCCGAUAUCAGAUUAGCUAGUUGGUGAGGUAAAGGCUCACCAAGGCGACGAUCUGUAGCGGGUCUGAGAGGAUGAUCCGCCACACUGGAACUGAGACACGGUCCAGACUCCUACGGGAGGCAGCAGGUGGGGUAAUUUUGGACAAGUGGGCGCAAGCCUGAUCCAGCCAUGCCGCGUGAGUGAAGAA
RNAcentral lists this ribosomal RNA (383 nucleotides) under uncultured bacterium. RNAcentral describes it as "bacterial SSU rRNA". It matches the Rfam family "Bacterial small subunit ribosomal RNA", at positions 30 to 412 of the family's 1533-position model. The record is from RNAcentral.